CCUGGCUCAGAUUGAACGCUGGCGGCAUGCCUAACACAUGCAAGUCGAACGGCAGCAUGAUAUAGAGUAAUCUGUAUUGAUGGCGAGUGGCGGACGGGUGAGUAACGCGUAGGAAUAUAUCUUAAAGAGGGGGAUAACUUGGGGAAACUCAAGCUAAUACCGCAUGAGCUCUGAGGAGGAAAGCUGGGGACCUUCGGGCCUGGCGCUUUAAGAUUAGCCU
This 220-nucleotide ribosomal RNA is filed under the name uncultured bacterium. RNAcentral's name for it is "partial 16S ribosomal RNA". It matches the Rfam family "Bacterial small subunit ribosomal RNA", at positions 18 to 232 of the family's 1533-position model. The record is from RNAcentral.